Molecule: long non-coding RNA, 640 nt
Filed under: Olea europaea subsp. europaea
Lineage: Eukaryota; Viridiplantae; Streptophyta; Magnoliopsida; Lamiales; Oleaceae
Source: RNAcentral
CUUUUUUAUAUUUAUGUGGAUAGGCAACGAUAAUUAAUUUCACUUAUUUUACUAAUUUUUUUUUAAAAUUACGUAUGUUGAAAAUGUACAAUGCAAUUUGAAGUCCGACUUAGGACCCAAAAAUUCUCAAGUCCGGCCCUAGUCCUAAGUCUAAGGGAGAAAAAAAUAUUAUGGAAUGGAUAUGUUUCAUCUUGUAGUAAAACUUGGGACGACUGAGACCCAUAAGUAAGUUGUUACGGGCAGGUCGUUUAACUUAGGUACUAUUAGUCUUUUUGCUAGUUAAAGAGGAAUAAAUGAGCGUUUGAUUGUCAAUAUUUUUUUUUAUGAAAAAUGUGUUUUUUUCCACCCAAAAUUUUUAGUUCUGUUCUAUUUGGGUGGCAUUUUUUUCCAGCUCAAAAUAAUGUGUGAAAAUAACAAAACCUUGCUUCUAAGUUAAGCAAAUUUACUUGUAAGCAAAGUCAAAGGUUUGUGGUGCAUGCAAGUUGGACAAAACGAAAGUAUGAUUGUAACUUUUGACCGUAAUCCCAAAGAAGAAGAAAAGUCACACAUAACGCGUAGGCCUACAUCAUUAUAACCUUGAAUAGAGAGCCUUUUCUCGUAAGUCAAAAUAAGUGAGCUCAGAUUUUGAAUUUAUUUUCAC